Molecule: long non-coding RNA, 459 nt
Filed under: Chinchilla lanigera (long-tailed chinchilla)
Lineage: Eukaryota; Metazoa; Chordata; Mammalia; Rodentia; Chinchillidae
Description: lncRNA (ENSCLAG00000029014.1)
Source: RNAcentral
AAAAAGUUUUAACGUAACUCAUUGGCUCUUACAAGUCAUGGGGCAUCCCUGAACGAAGGGAACUUGGGUGAACCAUCCCUGAGUCUACACAUCUGCCAUUCGCCAGGGCUACCGGGGACACUGUCUAAACCAGGCUUCUUGGCUCCACCUCUGAGAUUCUUACUAGAUCUGGACUGGAGAAUGAGAACCCCAGGGAUUCUACUGGCUUCCUGCUCUUGCCAAUUCUCAGAUGGGCUCUACACAACCAUGGUGGCGGAGACCAGGAUCGAGAACCAGAGUGACGAGCAUGUCUCGAGGGGGCAGCAGUGCACUGGAGUCGGCCCGAGUCAGCCUGAACUGAGGGGGAAGGUUCAGAAAUUUUGUCAGCCCAUUGUUUACCACAGGCGUUAUUAAAUAUUAUUAUGUUAACUUGUGAUGAGAUAAAUUACAUUAAAAACAAAGGGAACAAAUACUCAAAAC